Molecule: ribosomal RNA, 484 nt
Filed under: uncultured bacterium
Lineage: Bacteria
Description: partial 16S ribosomal RNA
Rfam family: Bacterial small subunit ribosomal RNA
Source: RNAcentral
AUUGAACGCUGGCGGCAUGCUUUACACAUGCAAGUCGAACGGCAGCGCGGGCUUCGGCCUGGCUGCGAGUGGCGAACGGGUGAGUAAUGCAUCGGAACGUGCCCAGUAGUGGGGGAUAGCCCGGCGAAAGCCGGAUUAAUACCGCAUACGACCUGAGGGUGAAAGCGGGGGACCGAAAGGCCUCGCGCUCUUGGAGCGGCCGAUGUCGGAUUAGCUAGUUGGUGGGGUAAAGGCUUACCAAGGCGACGAUCCGUAGCUGGUCUGAGAGGACGACCAGCCACACUGGGACUGAGACACGGACCAGACUCCUACGGGAGGCAGCAGUGGGGAAUUUUGGACAAUGGGGGCAACCCUGAUCCAGCCAUGCCGCGUGCGGGAAGAAGGCCUUCGGGUUGUAAACCGCUUUUGUUCGGGAAGAAAUCCUCUGGGCUAAUACCCCGGGGGGAUGACGGUACCGGAAGAAUAAGCACCGGCUAACUACGUG